CUGCAUGGCUGUCGUCAGCUCGUGUCGUGAGAGUGUUGGGUUAAGUCCCGUAACGAGCGCAACCCUGCCUUUAGUUGCCAGCAGUUCGGCUGGGCACUCUAAAGGGACUGCCGGUGUUAAACCGGAGGAAGGUGGGGGAUGACGUCAAGUCCUCAUGGCCUUUAUGACCAGGGCUACACACGUACUACAAUGGCCGAUACAAAGGGCAGCGACACUGCGAGGUGAAGCCAAUCCCGUAAAAUCGGUCUCAGUCCGGAUUGGAGUCUGCAACUCGACUCCAUGAAGUUGGAAUCGCUAGUAAUCGUGGAUCAGCAUGCCACGGUGAAUACGUUCCCGGGCCUU
This 342-nucleotide ribosomal RNA is filed under the name uncultured Desulfobulbus sp. RNAcentral's name for it is "bacterial SSU rRNA". It matches the Rfam family "Bacterial small subunit ribosomal RNA", at positions 1041 to 1382 of the family's 1533-position model. Lineage: Bacteria; Pseudomonadati; Thermodesulfobacteriota; Desulfobulbia; Desulfobulbales; Desulfobulbaceae. The record is from RNAcentral.